Molecule: ribosomal RNA, 460 nt
Filed under: uncultured bacterium
Lineage: Bacteria
Description: partial 16S ribosomal RNA
Rfam family: Bacterial small subunit ribosomal RNA
Source: RNAcentral
UCUACGGGAGGCAGCAGUGAGGAAUAUUGGUCAAUGGGCGCGAGCCUGAACCAGCCAAGUCGCGUGAGGGAAGACGGCCCUACGGGUUGUAAACCUCUUUUGCCGGGGAGCAACGGGCGCCACGUGUGGCGCCACUGAGAGUACCCGGAGAAAAAGCAUCGGCUAACUCCGUGCCAGCAGCCGCGGUAAUACGGAGGAUGCGAGCGUUAUCCGGAUUUAUUGGGUUUAAAGGGUGCGUAGGCGGGCUUUUAAGUCAGCGGUAAAAAUUCGGGGCUCAACCCCGUCCGGCCGUUGAAACUGGGGGCCUUGAGUGGGCGAGAAGAAGGCGGAAUGCGUGGUGUAGCGGUGAAAUGCAUAGAUAUCACGCAGAACCCCGAUUGCGAAGGCAGCCUUCCGGCGCCCUACUGACGCUGAGGCACGAAAGUGCGGGGAUCGAACAGGAUUAGAUACCCUUGUAGUC